Ornithorhynchus anatinus (platypus) is the source of this 811-nucleotide long non-coding RNA. RefSeq lists it as uncharacterized. NCBI's taxonomy places the organism in Eukaryota, Metazoa, Chordata, Mammalia, Monotremata, Ornithorhynchidae. The record is from RefSeq and is a predicted model, not a curated record. The transcript has 5 exons.
AUCUCCUGAUUUGGGUACCACCCUCUUGCUAAGAAGUCUGGGGGAUAGACUCAGAACCAGUGAACCUCAGUGGGAUAGCAUUCAAGCUCACGUUCAGCAGCUAUUUGGGUAUCCUGCUGGUGCUCAUCCUCUUCACGUGUUCCACCCAGUACAACUGGGUUGAAGCGAGGUGGAUAGUACCCUUUACCAGGAGAGUUCCUCUGUGAUUGGGAGAUGAGAGACCUGAAGAGAGUUUUUUCCUGUGGUUCUCCGAGCUCUCAGUGGCCAAAAUCCAACACGAUUCUGCAGGGCCUGAGGUGAAGAAUUUCCCAUCUUCUGGAAUGAUGAGGCCGCCUUCCAUCUAGAAAGAUGAAGAGCUGGCUGCUCCUACUUCUUGUAGCAGGAACUAGACUUUGGGUUACGACUAGCUUGACCUCACCCCAUCUCACUGUGAUCAAGGAAGAGAAGAUCGAAGACAUCUCCCACUCGCAGCACUGCGGGUCAGAGAUGAAGAAACGAGGAAAUGAAGAUAAGAGAUUUCUGAGCCAGCAGUUAGAGCUACAACCCAAGAAUCCUGGCAUCCGGACUUGUGCGUAAUAGAUGGCGGGGCACUGAGAGGAAUAAGCCUGCUGAAAGACGUUUUCUGAAGAUGUCUGCUGUUCAGAACUAAGAAAGACGAAUUCUUCACUGAAGUUGCAAAGCAGACAGCAGAGCAAGCUUCUACUUCCGCAGACAACUGCAGACUCAUAAUCGUAUUACUUCAUUUAGUUAAUGUUGUGAGGUUAUAUUUUGAAUGACUUUAAUGAAGAUUAAACGAAGGUCUAGUAAUGUU